GUCAUAUAUGAUUACAAAAAUUGCUAUUUUCAUUAUGUUACAUUACAAACUGUAAGAUUCCACUUUGCAUGAUGCCCAAGACUCUUUAGGUUUGGCCCCUCAGUGAAUCUCAUGCAUCAUCUCUUGCUCUCCUUCUCCACCCUGCUUCCUCCCAAGUUCCAGUCACACAGAAUGGGUUACAGAUCCCAGAGUGCGUUUAGUGCCUCCUCCCCCAGCCUUGGCCCUUUGCUAUGAUUUUUUUUUAUUUUUUGCAAAAUAGCCUUCCUCUUUUCACCUUCAUAACUGCUACUUACUUGUCCCUGAGAAUUCAGCUCAGUGUGUUCUAGUAAGACCCUGUGCAUGGCUCUAUUCUGCUAUUUGUCCCACUAUACUACAAUUGACUCUGUACUAGCUUCCCUACUACAAUCCUCUACAUCACAAAGAUUAAGGCUCUCACAUUUUCUGAGCUUCCUCUAGCCAAGCAGUCUGGUUCUCAGACUUUCCUCACAGCAUGGCCCCCAAAUGCCAGUCUCCCCUCCCACCUCAAAAGUAGAAACCAAGACUUACUGCCCCAAGGCUGGAAGACACAUUGGCCUCUCUGGGCAGGCCAAAGAAGAAAGAAAAAGAAUAGCAAGAAUCAACUGAACAUAUUGAUGAAGUACAAAAUAAAGUAGACAGACUUAAUGAACAAGCCAGUGAGUAGAUUUUGAAAGUAGAACAGAAAUAUAACAACUCCACCAACCACUCUUUCAGAAGAGGUCAAAAUUGAUCACCCAAAUCCCAAAUUGUAGCGUAACAUUUGUCAGACAUCCACAAGUGUCUGCACUGCUUGGGGAGGAGGACGAAGAGGCACUAAAUUUGUUGAUCAGAGUCGAAGAGACAGAAUUUGAAGAUAAUAAAUCAGAAUAGAUUUUUACAGAAUAGAUUUUUAUUUUGAUGAAAAUCCAUACUUUGAAAAUAAAGUUCUCUCCAAAGAAUUUCACCUGAAUGAGAGUGGUGAUCCAUCUUCAAAGUCCACUGAAAUCAAAUGGAAAUCUGGAAAAAAUUUGAUGAAGCAUUUCAGUCAAAUGCAGAGUAAAGCCAGCAGGAAGACGCAGCAUGAGGAACCAAAGAGCCUCUUUACCUGGCUUAUUGACCGUUCUGAUGCGGGUGCAGAUAAACUAGGAGAGGUCGUCAAAGAUGACAUUUGGCCAAAUUCAUUAUAGUACUAUGUGGCUCCUGAUAUGGAUGAUGAAGAAGGGGAAAGAGAAGAUGCUGCUGCUGAAGAACAAGGUUUGGAAGAUAAUGAUGAAGCAGUGGAUGAAGAUGAAGGUGAAAAAGAUGAAAAUGACAUUGAAGAAGAGAAAAGAGAGGAGGAUGAAGGAGAAGAUGAUAACAGAACAGGGAUGGAUUUCAACCUUCUCUUUUAAAAAUUUUCCCUAGUCCCUGGGAGCAAGUUACAGUCUUUAUUUUUUUUUUUCUUUUGUGCUCAGUUGUCCUCUUCUUGAGAUCUCUUUUCUCUACACCAUGGUUCUCAACUUAUUUGGGUGGGGAAGGGGGAGAUACCUGGAGCAGAAUACAAUGGGAACAGAAUCUCUACCCCUUUCUGUUCUAAAUUCAUUUUUAUCCCUUCCUGUCUCAACAAAAACUGUAUGGAAUCACCACCACUGAGCUCUAUGGGAAAAAAGACAAACCUGCUCCCUUCACUCUGCUGGAAGCUGGAAGUAGUAGUGCAGAGAAUUCUAGCUUUUUCCCUCCUUUCUCUGUGUACUGGGCUCAGAAAGUACACUGUGUCUCUGUGUGAAUGUGGACAGUCAGCUCUUACCAACAUGUAUGUCUACCUUCUCUUAUUUAAAAAAGAAAAAAGGCCAGACAUGGUGGCUC
Non-coding RNA from Microcebus murinus (gray mouse lemur), 1842 nucleotides. The record is from RefSeq and is a predicted model, not a curated record. Lineage: Eukaryota; Metazoa; Chordata; Mammalia; Primates; Cheirogaleidae.